RNAcentral lists this unclassified non-coding RNA (335 nucleotides) under soil metagenome. Its description in RNAcentral is "partial contains 5.8S ribosomal RNA, internal transcribed spacer 2, and large subunit ribosomal RNA". The stretch from base 1 to 119 matches the Rfam family "5.8S ribosomal RNA", at positions 35 to 154 of the family's 154-position model. The record is from RNAcentral.
GAUGAAGACGCAGCGAAAUGCGAUAAGUAAUGUGAAUUGCAGAAUUCAGUGAAUCAUCGAAUCUUUGAACGCACAUUGCGCCCGCCAGUAUUCUGGCGGGCAUGCCUGUUCGAGCGUCAUUUCAACCAUCAAGCCCCAGGCUUGUGUUGGGGACCUGCGGCUGCCGCAGGCCCUGAAAACCAGUGGCGGGCUCGCUGUCACACCGGGCGUAGUAGAUUUUAUCUCGCUCAGGGCGUGCUGCGGGUUCCGGCCGUUAAAAAGCCUUUUUUACCCAAGGUUGACCUCGGAUCAGGUAGGAAGACCCGCUGAACUUAAGCAUAUCAAUAAGCGGAGGA